RNAcentral lists this RNase P RNA (380 nucleotides) under Clostridiales bacterium. Its description in RNAcentral is "RNase P RNA component class A". It matches the Rfam family "Bacterial RNase P class A". From Rfam's summary of the family: Ribonuclease P (RNase P) is a ubiquitous endoribonuclease, found in archaea, bacteria and eukarya as well as chloroplasts and mitochondria. Lineage: Bacteria; Bacillati; Bacillota; Clostridia; Eubacteriales. The record is from RNAcentral.
UGAGUAAGCCAGGCAGUCGCGUGCAUCAUAUUUUUAAGAUGCAUGAGGAAAGUCCGGGCUCCAUAGGGCAGGGUGCCAGAUAACGUCUGGCGGAGGUGACUCUAGGGAAAGUGCAACAGAAACACACCGCCUACCGGCCAUAAAGGCCGCGGUAAGGGUGAAAUGGUGAGGUAAGAGCUCACCGGCAGUAUGGUAACAUGCUGGCCGUGCAAACCCCACCCGGAGCAAGACCAAGUUAGGGAGGUUACUGCCAAAGGGCAGUGCCUGAAAGGCGAUGGCCCGUCGCUUCCCGGUUGGUAGGUCGCUUGAGCUCGUUGGUGACAGCGAGCCUAGAUAGAUGACUGCCUAAUACAGAACCCGGCUUAUGGCUUGCUCAUACU